This 334-nucleotide ribosomal RNA is filed under the name uncultured bacterium. Its description in RNAcentral is "partial 16S ribosomal RNA". It matches the Rfam family "Bacterial small subunit ribosomal RNA", at positions 356 to 682 of the family's 1533-position model. The record is from RNAcentral.
GGGGAAUAUUGGACAAUGGGCGAAAGCCUGAUCCAGCCAUGCCGCGUGUGUGAAGAAGGUCUUCGGAUUGUAAAGCACUUUAAGUUGGGAGGAAGGGCAGUAAAUUAAUACUUUGCUGUUUUGACGUUACCGACAGAAUAAGCACCGGCUAACUCUGUGCCAGCAGCCGCGGUAAUACAGAGGGUGCAAGCGUUAAUCGGAAUUACUGGGCGUAAAGCGCGCGUAGGUGGUUCGUUAAGUUGGAUGUGAAAUCCCCGGGCUCAACCUGGGAACUGCAUUCAAAACUGACGAGCUAGAGUAUGGUAGAGGGUGGUGGAAUUUCCUGUGUAGCGGU